AAAAUCUCCAGACUAGAAACAUUAUUCAAAAGUGCCCACGCACCACAUCCUGAGCAACUAAACAGGAGAAACCAGAUGGGACAAACCACAGAACUAUCUCCAUAGUUUGAGGAACGUUUUGAUGAACUUUGAGCAGAAUGGAGUAUGAAACCAGCAUUUUUCGAUACCAAUAGUUUGGAUACUCCUACACCUGUGCAUCUUUUUUGACUGCUGUAUGGAAACGCACAUGAAGCUGACCUUUGAAGAGUUUUGUACCACUUGCCUCGCCUGCUCUGGAGUGUAGGACCUGAACCAAUGGCUUCAAGUUACAAGAAAGGAGAUUCUGACUAAACAUCAGGAAGAACUUUCCCAUGCCAUGGACCUUUGUGCUCAGAAUGAAAGCUUCGGUAAAGCCAAGCCCCCUCCCUGCUUGCUUAUGAAAAUGGCUACCCUGUACAAGGAAUAAUCCUCUUCAAAAGGGUUAGUCACAGGGAACUUCCGUAGACAAGAAUCUGCUCUAAAAUGCUCUUGCAAGGGCUAGAUUGGAUGCCAUGUAAACAAGCCCUCAAUUUGCACCUGUGUAAACAAACCUGAGGCCAAAAUCAAGGGGGUGGAGGUAACUACAUGUUUUCAUUUUCCCUGUUUUGUAAGGGGGAAAAGUGACAGCCUAAGUCCUACCUAGAAUGAGGAUGCACACAGUGUUAUGAAAAGGGCUUUUUACCAUUGUGGGAUUAUAUUAUUUUCAUUGAAGACAACAUGGAAUAAAGUUUCAGUUGUAAGAUGUUGAGACGAAAUCAGCUAUUAUGGAUGAAUACUUUAUUACUCCAUCUCUCUAAGUUUUAGAAGAGGAUGAUUAAUGGGCUAGUGUUUCAGGGGUUUUGCAACAGUGCUGUUGAAACUUAUAGAAUUUGUGGGCAUAAAAAACCCCACAACCGUCUAGGAUCCAAAGUGCCCGUGCCAAUUUGAUUUCAGAGGUAUUCAAACAUCAAGACAGAGUGACUUUUUAAGAUGUCUAAAGGCAACAACAGUUGGAAAAGCCUGAACGUCAUAACUGACCCUUAUCCCAGCUUUUGGCUCUGUCCUCUACACACUCACCUAUGAACUCUAUGGGUCUUACUUCUGAGUAGACAUGUGCAGGAUUGUGCUAUUUGCCUACUAGGUUAUGUGUUAUGUGGUCUUUCUGUGCAUGCUGCUUGUGAUGCCCUAUUGAUGAACUAUAAAAUAAUGAAACAGCUAGCACCAGUAAUUAUGAUAAAAUAAUUGAGAUGUAGCUAAAAAGAGAAUUAAAAUAAUGUAUAGGGGAAUACAUGAAAAAAUAUGGCGUUAAAGCAGAACUCUUAAUAGGCGAUUGUUAAGUGUGUAAGGAUAAAAUAAGUAAUCAUAAUUUAUUAGACAUUUUAGAAAUAAGCUUUCAUGUUAGCUUAGUGUAUUAAAGCAACUAGAAAUAAUUUAGUGACUGGAAGAUCUCACAUGGGUGAAGGGAAGCAACAGGGAGGAGGGGAUAGGUAACAUUUGGGAAAUAAAAUAAUAUAUGUGACAGAAAACCAGAUCCCCUGCCUAGGAUUUUAUUCUUUUUAUUUAUGCCAAAUUUCAAGGAAUGAGAUUAUUAAUUCACUUUUAUUUAUUAUCCCCUGCUUAUUUGGUGGUGAUUAUCUUUCUCCUUGUCCUGACCAUCCUCCCAAGGCUAUAUUCACAAUCUUUCAAUUUGGUUGGACUCUACACUUAACCGGCCGGAACAUUCUACCAGAGAAAAGGUUGCCGCCCAUGGGACAUCAACUGAAUGUCAACCCAGCUUUUACCUUGGGUUUUAAUAGGUUUUAUUGGUAACCAUAUUUGUAAUGUAUUUUUGUUGGUGUCUGUUUGUCUUUUUGAUGCUAUGGCCCAUCGGCUAUGCAAAUAAAGUUUGAUUUGAUAUGUGACAGAAAAGGAUAUAACAGAUUCUUAUAGCAUAGCAACAUCAUGUAACCAGAGUAGAAGUUUAAAGGAGGAAGUGAAUGUAUUUUUAUUAUUGUAAUUAUUACCAUUAUUGGUAGAAGGCAAUGUUAAUUUAGACUUUUUCAUUUUGUUGUUUGUAUAUGGUGUAUUUUUCUUAAAAUAAUAAUAAUUAUAAUUAAAACAACAUGUGGAAUUCAGCAUCACGUUAAUACAAUUGUUCUGUCAGCGCAAGCAUUUCUAUUUGCCCGAUGGAACAAUCUCCCCUUCCUCACACACACUCCCGAGUGGAUUUGGGGGAGGAAGUGGUCAAACUCCAGUGCAGUAGUGGGAGCCCUUGAGCUGGCUUCCCACUAGCUGGCUAGUGCUAAUAAAUUUAUACCUUUCCAAAAUAAGUUUCUAUCUCCCUUUUAUAAUAUAAAUAUUAGUUGUUCUUCAAGUCUUUGGGUGUGUUGCUAUAGAGAAAACCCUAAUUCAUAUAUCAUUUGCAAGUUCUAUUAUCCAGUGAUGUGCAUGAUAAGAAACAGAACAUGCAUUUUUGGAACUUACAUCUUGAU
Long non-coding RNA from Zootoca vivipara (common lizard), 2468 nucleotides. RefSeq lists it as uncharacterized. The record is from RefSeq and is a predicted model, not a curated record. NCBI's taxonomy places the organism in Eukaryota, Metazoa, Chordata, Lepidosauria, Squamata, Lacertidae.